GACGAACGCUGGCGGCGUGCUUAACACAUGCAAGUCGAACGGAAAGGCCCUGCUUUUGUGGGGUGCUCGAGUGGCGAACGGGUGAGUAACACGUGAGUAACCUGCCCUUGACUUUGGGAUAACUUCAGGAAACUGGGGCUAAUACCGGAUAGGAGCUCCUGCUGCAUGGUGGGGGUUGGAAAGUUUCGGCGGUUGGGGAUGGACUCGCGGCUUAUCAGCUUGUUGGUGGGGUAGUGGCUUACCAAGGCUUUGACGGGUAGCCGGCCUGAGAGGGUGACCGGCCACAUUGGGACUGAGAUACGGCCCAGAAUCCUACGGGCGGCAGCAGUGGGAAAUAUUACACAAUGGGCGGAAGCCUGAUGCAGCAACGCCGCGUGCGGGAUGACGGCCUUCGGGUUGUAAACCGCUUUCGCCUGUGACGAAGCGUGAGUGACGGUAAUGGGUAAAGAAGCACCGGCUAACUACGUG
Molecule: ribosomal RNA, 468 nt
Filed under: uncultured bacterium
Lineage: Bacteria
Description: partial 16S ribosomal RNA
Rfam family: Bacterial small subunit ribosomal RNA
Source: RNAcentral